CUCCCCUGCUUGGGAGACCAGCCUGGAAGUCACGAGCUAACUUCAGGGACCUGCACGCUUCCUGCCGCUGCGGCGCUGCAGGGGGAGGGUGGCCUCCACUCAGCUGGCCUUCCCCUGCAGACUGGGCGCAGAGGCCUGGGUGUCCUGGCCUGGGUUUGAGCCCCGCCCCUUCCCCUUCUGGGGUGCGUGUUCCGAGGUUUCUUCAGCCUUGGAGGAGCCAGGGGCCUUGUUACUAUUUACUCUGAGCAACCGGAAGUGCUGCGAGCGCUGCUAGGAGCUCCCAGAAACAAAGAAAAUUUAAAAAUCAACAAGACUGGACUUUGCCAACGCCGAGGGGCCCUCUCAAGGAGGUGCGGCCGCUACGGAAACCCGAGGGGGCGUAGGAACCGCCCGGGUGUGCUGCGGCAGGAGAGGCCAAAGCCCAGGACCCGCCGAGUGCGUCAGCGAGCACCCAGGAGGCCAGGACGAGUUCCAGAAACGCACGCGGGGAAGCUCGUGGGGGCACGACCGGCCACCCUGUGACCAGUGAUGACGAGUGGCUCUUUUCUCUGCCUCCAGGCCCUGGAGAUGGAGGCGCCACAAGGCAGAGACGGCCUGGAUCCCUGAGGGUUCACAUGGCGGACAGUUACCCUGCAGAGUUACCUGGGCUCACGCAGACUUUGCUGGAUGCAAAACAAACUGUUGCUGUGUUGAAACACUUUGAUGUUGGAAUCAUUUGUUACUGCACCACAGCCUAGCCUUGCUAACUGAUGCGUUCUGGCUCAAGGGAGGCCUGGAGACCUUGGACAAGUCCCCUGACUCCUCCAGGCCUCAAUUUCCCCAGGUGUACGAUGAGGCAAGAGGUCUCUUCUCCUCUCACGAGGGCCUGUGCUGCUCGUGCUCCCAAACCCCAAAGGCCUGAGGAAUACCCAUCAGCACUCGGGGCUGCAGGGUGCUGAGCACUCCCACUGGCCGCCGGCCAGACAGCCUCAGGGGCAUCAUGGGAUCCUCCCAGCAGGGAGACACCAUGACCAUCCCCGCUGCCCCAUGGGGAAACAGGCUCAGAGAGGCGAGGUCACUUACCCAGGCGCACCAGCACCUGUGACUCCUGUCUGUUCUGAUGACAGCUGACAUCUGGUAUUUUUACUUAUUUCUUACAAAUGCAAUGUAAAAGAAAGCCCACUGUUAACAACUUGAGAGAAUGUAGAAAAAAACUUUUAAAUUUA
Phyllostomus hastatus (greater spear-nosed bat) is the source of this 1205-nucleotide long non-coding RNA. RefSeq lists it as uncharacterized. The transcript has 3 exons. The record is from RefSeq and is a predicted model, not a curated record. Lineage: Eukaryota; Metazoa; Chordata; Mammalia; Chiroptera; Phyllostomidae.